GCAUCUGAGCAAAACAACCAACACGGAAACAGCCCGGCCGUGCUAUCACCUCCUGGAAAAAUGAGGAGAGUGAUGGGUCCUGAGGGAUAAUACCUGAGGGUCUUCAUUUGUGGUAGUAUAUACAAUCAAUAGCUUUGAUUGGAUUUUUUGACAAUAAUUUCCAUUUCAUCUCUGAUAUCUUCAUUUUUAAUUUGGUCAGGUAUUUCUCGUCUUCUCCAUCACCAACUGAGCCAGGGAAGCUUCAGAUUCCAGCUUCGAAAGGAGACGCCCUCGAACCAAAGGCAUCUGAGCAAAACAACCAACACGGAAACAGCCCCGCCGUGCUAUCACCUCCUGGAAAAAUGAGGAGAGUGAUGGGUCCUGAGGGAUAAUACCUGAGGGUCUUCGUUUGUGGUAGUAUAUACAAUCAAUAGCUUUGAUUGGAUUUUUUUGCAGUAACUCUAGCGUCAGUUUGUAAUGCCGCCUUCUGCAAAUUAGUUACCAGUCAAAACUUAUCAGAAAGAACAAAAGGCAAAAAGAAAGAGAGAAACAUUCUCAUUUAGAAAUUUAGAUGAAAAGCAAGUCCAAUCACAAAUAAACAAUGAGAAAUCGGCCAAAAAAACACUGAACUUUGCGGGAAUUGCCAAAAGAAACCUGUACUCGAACCAGACCAAUAAAACUCUGAUCUUUU
This 670-nucleotide long non-coding RNA is filed under the name Brassica napus (rape). RNAcentral describes it as "long non-coding RNA (BNAP_LNC023834)". The record is from RNAcentral. Lineage: Eukaryota; Viridiplantae; Streptophyta; Magnoliopsida; Brassicales; Brassicaceae.